RNAcentral lists this long non-coding RNA (433 nucleotides) under Brachypodium distachyon (stiff brome). Its description in RNAcentral is "long non-coding RNA (BDIS_LNC001995)". The record is from RNAcentral. Lineage: Eukaryota; Viridiplantae; Streptophyta; Magnoliopsida; Poales; Poaceae.
UGGCCUGUACGUUCACUGGAUUGUACUAUCGAGCUACCCAUUGUUGUUCAAAGAUUCGUGCGCCCGCAUGUCAAGUCAGAGGAGCGGUCCGGAACAUCUCCAAAUCAACUAGAAAAAAAAUAACAACAUCUCCAAAUCAACUGGAAAAAAUUCCCUCACCAUCCGGAUCCAUAAUAACAACAUCUCCAAAUCAACUGGAAAAAAUUCCUUCACCAUUCGGAUCCACAAUAACAACAUCUCCAAAUCAACUGGAAAAAAAUCCACAGGAACAAAAACUACAAGAAAUAGCACCAUGGCUUCCGCUCCGCCCUCUCCCUCGCCAUCGACGGCUUUAGCGAUGGGAUCUGGUGACAGAAGUUCGCCCAUGCUCCAUGUUGCUGCUGCUGAAGCAUUCGAGCCAUGGGCUUCUUUCUGUGGGCCAAAGAGUUCUUCC